RNAcentral lists this unclassified non-coding RNA (348 nucleotides) under soil metagenome. RNAcentral's name for it is "partial contains 5.8S ribosomal RNA, internal transcribed spacer 2, and large subunit ribosomal RNA". The stretch from base 1 to 120 matches the Rfam family "5.8S ribosomal RNA", at positions 35 to 154 of the family's 154-position model. The record is from RNAcentral.
GAUGAAGAACGUAGCGAAAUGCGAAAAGUAAUGUGAAUUGCAGAAUUCAGUGAACCAUCGAAUCUUUGAACGCACAUUGCGCCCGCUGGAACUCCGGCGGGCACGCCUGUCCGGGCGUCAUUUCAACCCUCAGGCCCCCCUUCGCGGGCGGGCCUGGUGUUGGGGCCCGGCCGCUACCCUGCGGCCGUCCCCUAAAUCCAGUGGCGGCCUCGCCGUGAUCCCUUGCGUAGUAAUGCACCUCGCACCGCAGAGCGCCGUGGCCACGCCGUAAAACCCCCAAUUUUCAAUGGUUGACCUCGGAUCAGGUGGGAAUACCCGCUGAACUUAAGCAUAUCAAUAAGCGGAGGA